UACGAAGGGGGCUAGCGUUGCUCGGAAUCACUGGGCGUAAAGCGCACGUAGGCGGCUUCUUAAGUCAGGCGUGAAAUCCUGGAGCUCAACUCCAGAACUGCCUUUGAUACUGAGGAGCUUGAGUCCGGGAGAGGUGAGUGGAACUGCGAGUGUAGAGGUGAAAUUCGUAGAUAUUCGCAAGAACACCAGUGGCGAAGGCGGCUCACUGGCCCGGUACUGACGCUGAGGUGCGAAAGCGUGGGGAGCAAACAGG
RNAcentral lists this ribosomal RNA (253 nucleotides) under uncultured bacterium. Its description in RNAcentral is "partial 16S ribosomal RNA". It matches the Rfam family "Bacterial small subunit ribosomal RNA", at positions 524 to 776 of the family's 1533-position model. The record is from RNAcentral.